This 1086-nucleotide long non-coding RNA is filed under the name Ursus maritimus (polar bear). RNAcentral describes it as "lncRNA (ENSUMAG00000016002.1)". Lineage: Eukaryota; Metazoa; Chordata; Mammalia; Carnivora; Ursidae. The record is from RNAcentral.
UGCCAACCCGGGCAGUCAGGCUCCAGAGCCGGCACUCUCCGUUUCUGCCCCCAGUGCAGAAGCAGACGGAGGGCACUGUCACCCAGGGCAGAGGGUAUCCUCUGCACCGCCUCCCAGCUCCCACACAGGCCAGCAGGCGUGUUGUCCUCGCCUCCUGGGGCACACCCACCUUGGAAGCAGCAUCGGGGACCAGCGACUGGCAACCCCCGGGUGCCCCGCUUCCGCUAGCACCCGCCACCAUCAGGAAACUGGGCACUAGCAAAAGUGAAACUGACUUUGCCAGUUCCGCCCCCGCAGAGGGAAACGGGGAGCAGCCUCGGCUGGUCAACAACCGGUUAGGCACUUUUUAUUGCCCGCACUGUCAUAAUCCUCCGGGCUUGGCCGGGGUGAAGAGGAAAUGGGAAGGCAAGGAAUUCCAAGAUGCCUGCAGAGUUCAUGCCAGCCAUCCCCUUGCUUCUAGGAACCGGAGAAGAGAGAGCGAGCCUGCGAGCCUGCACGGGAGCCCGAGACGCACCCACGCACCAAGGAAGAAACAGAGAGACACUCCCCAAGAUAAAGGGAGAGACUCCAGCGAAGAAGCAGAGACCCGGGCCACAGAGAAGCCUGCGCAGGGAGCCGGAGACGCACAGAAGGACGGAGGAAUGGAGAGGUUUCCAUUUCUCUUGAAUGGAGACAAAAAAGAUACAGAAUGGGCAAACAAAUAUAGCAAACCUCUGGUUUCUUGUUGUAUUUUAUUAAAUCUUGGGUAACUCUUGGAGAAUAGACCACUGACGUUGCAUAAAGGCUGGGCUCGGAGGGGAGGCGGGAGGACAGACAGUAAGAAGCAUCGGGUUGAGCCAAGACAAAUUAUGAAGAGAGCCACAUAUCACAAAGGUUUGUACACAGUAGGCGCUCAAUCAUCACUGAUGGCAGGGGACCCCUCUCUCCUGAGGCCAGGACAACUGAAAAUUUAAAGGCAGCAAUGGUGGGGGGGCCGCCUGGCUGGCUCAGUUGGAAGGGCAUGCAACUCUUGAUCUCCCAGUGGUGGUGACUUCAAGCUCCACGUUGGAGGAGAUAACUUAAAUAAAUAAAGUUUAAAAAAAAACA